GGAAGGGCCAGCCGAUAGGCGCCGGCGCCGGUCUUGAAAAUCGAGUGCCCCGAAAGGGGCGUGCGGGUUCGACUCCCGCCCCUUCCGCCA
RNAcentral lists this transfer RNA (90 nucleotides) under Ralstonia phage Cimandef. Its description in RNAcentral is "tRNA-Ser". It matches the Rfam family "tRNA". From Rfam's summary of the family: Transfer RNA (tRNA) molecules are approximately 80 nucleotides in length. Their secondary structure includes four short double-helical elements and three loops (D, anti-codon, and T loops). Further hydrogen bonds mediate the characteristic L-shaped molecular structure. tRNAs have two regions of fundamental functional importance: the anti-codon, which is responsible for specific mRNA codon recognition, and the 3' end, to which the tRNAs corresponding amino acid is attached (by aminoacyl-tRNA synthetases). tRNAs cope with the degeneracy of the genetic code in two manners: having more than one tRNA (with a specific anti-codon) for a particular amino acid; and 'wobble' base-pairing, i.e. permitting non-standard base-pairing at the 3rd anti-codon position. Lineage: Duplodnaviria; Heunggongvirae; Uroviricota; Caudoviricetes. The record is from RNAcentral. RNAcentral also lists the same sequence under 2 other names.